This 98-nucleotide microRNA precursor is filed under the name Erinaceus europaeus (western European hedgehog). RNAcentral describes it as "miRNA (ENSEEUG00000016079.1)". The record is from RNAcentral. Lineage: Eukaryota; Metazoa; Chordata; Mammalia; Eulipotyphla; Erinaceidae.
GCUAUGGGCAUCUGGUAUUGUGCGAUUCCUGCAUGAAAACUGUAGCUGGUGGUGCCUGGCUCUAGAAUACCACUUCUGCCGUCACAGUCAAGUCUGCC